Molecule: long non-coding RNA, 551 nt
Filed under: Anser cygnoides (Swan goose)
Lineage: Eukaryota; Metazoa; Chordata; Aves; Anseriformes; Anatidae
Description: lncRNA (ENSACDG00005016042.1)
Source: RNAcentral
AAUGCUCUACAGGACAGGUAAGAUCACCCCAACCCACACCCACCACGGUCCACAGCAAACAGACAGGUGAGACGCUCGGGCCAGGACGGCAGUGACCGCUCCAUCAGGACGACGGGACAAGGACAGCCUCGCCAGAAACACACAAUAAUGGGACCAGACUACGGCACAAUCCUGGCCUCGCUGCUCUUGACCACUCAGCUGGAAGGAAGAGCUGCCAACGCUCUACAGGACAGCCAGACUCAGACAGCGAUGGGACCAGACCACGGAUCACUCCUGGCCUCUCUCCCCUUGAGAACUCAGCUGGCAGGAAGAACUGCCAACGCUCUACAGGACAGAUAAGACAGCCCCAACCCAUUCCCCGCCAUCGUCUCACACCAUACCAGAAGACGACACGGUUGGGUUAUGAUGGGCAUCUCCUGGCCGCCAGGGAGACCCCAGAGCAGAGCAAGCCACUGAAGGAGAAGAAAGCACACAAGGACCCCGUCUCUACCCUGCCAUGGGAUUGUGAAGAGAUCUUGGACUGCAUUUGCAGUAGUCUGAAUCUGGUUUGA